UACGAAGGGGGCGAGCGUUGUUCGGAAUUACUGGGCGUAAAGGGCGCGUAGGCGGCCGAGCAAGUUAGAUGUGAAAGUCCUGGGCUUAACCUGGGGACUGCAUUUUGAUACUGCUUGGCUUGAAUUCGGGAGAGGAUAGCGGAAUUCCCAGUGUAGAGGUGAAAUUCGUAGAUAUUGGGAAGAACACCGGUGGCGAAGGCGGCUAUCUGGACCGACAUUGACGCUG
This 226-nucleotide ribosomal RNA is filed under the name uncultured bacterium. RNAcentral's name for it is "partial 16S ribosomal RNA". It matches the Rfam family "Bacterial small subunit ribosomal RNA", at positions 524 to 748 of the family's 1533-position model. The record is from RNAcentral.